AUCAGACUUGAAAGCGACUUGGAGAGGGCCACGCUUUCCACGGUCCCUGGGCCCAAGCUCAGUCCCCAAAGCCUGCACCCACUGUCUGGUGGCCUUGAGAAGCCAUUUCACUCCAUGUCUCAGUUUGCAUAUCUAUACAAAGCGGACAGGACCUUGUGGCCCAGGACAUGCAGGACAUAUCUGGGCAUGGAGACUAAGAAUGGAGUCCCAUGGGGUCCUGGCAUCCUGGCAUGAGGAUGUGUCUCCUCAGAAGACCUACCUCUGGAGGUGCCCUGUGUUGGUAGAGCUGGGAAUUAGAGGCUGGGUCCAUGCCUUUGGUGGGAGAGCUCCCCAGGUCUGACUUGAGUUACAGCUGGGCAAGCCUCCUUUUGGCUUCCUGCCCCGAGAUCUCCACUCACAUGUGGAGACAGACAGCACCCGUGUGGAGAGCUGGCUGGAAUGUGUGGAGAGCUGGCUUCGCUCUUCCAGCCCUGCCCACCACUGGGUUGAAGGGCAGACAAAAAGCGACUGGUCUGCACUAUCGCAGCAAGUUGAUGGCAGUCCUGGCUGGAGAGGCAAAACUUCCCUCGAGACGUGAGCAGCACCUGAGUGCUUCUGCGCCCUCUCUGAACUAGAAAGGUUAAGACUUCGGGGACACGUGGCCCUUUAAAUUCUGAUGGAGGCUGUGGACCUUCUAGAAGUCACAUACUCAUGUAGCUCUCAAAAUACCAAGCAGUUUCAGGAGCCUCGGGACUCCAGACUAAAGACCUCAGCCCUGGGGGUUUCAUCUGCCAUCCCUUUCUUACUCCAUCCAAGUGUGUCUCUCUCCUCCUGGUCGCCUCUUGUUUGG
Long non-coding RNA from Peromyscus eremicus (cactus mouse), 829 nucleotides. RefSeq lists it as uncharacterized. NCBI's taxonomy places the organism in Eukaryota, Metazoa, Chordata, Mammalia, Rodentia, Cricetidae. The record is from RefSeq and is a predicted model, not a curated record. The transcript is spliced from 2 exons.